Molecule: long non-coding RNA, 1438 nt
Organism: Sebastes umbrosus (honeycomb rockfish)
Lineage: Eukaryota; Metazoa; Chordata; Actinopteri; Perciformes; Sebastidae
Exons: 3
Source: RefSeq, a predicted model, not a curated record
GAUUGCUGCAGGAAAUGUAGAGAAUCUGGGCAUGGGACGAGGUAUGAAGGACGAGUUGGAUCAUCUAGUUUUUGCCGACCUUCAGUGGUUUAAUUAUUCACCUUGAUGUACAGGUGUACUCCAGGACGUUAUGAUCACUGUUGGGUGUGGUUACAGUCUUAAACGUUGAAUCAGAGGGGGCAGAAGAACACUGCUUUUCAGCACCAGCCAUGUGGGAGAUCAGAUCAAACUGCAGACACUCAUCAACAUUUCUGACCUGCCAGAACAGAAAUCCAACUGAUCGUCUGCCAAGCAGACUGUUGAUCAUUCAGGUUCCGUCCUCCACACACUUCUCCAAGGUGUAAGGAUCUGUCAGAUGAGACUGCUGAGUCUGGGUGAUUUUGUUAAUGUCAUGAACAUUAGACUGCUGUAUUUAAACUCUCUUUGGUCGUUUCCUCCAGUCAGCUCCGACUCCAACACACCGCUCAUCGUCCAGACUCACAGGAGGAGACGGAGGGCAAGUGAUGGUGGAAAAUAAAUCAUCAACCACUUUCAGCUGAACCUCUGAGUUUCAGUCUAAGAGGCACCUCAGCUGCUUAUUAUCUGCUCCAGUACUCCACAGUUCAGGUGAUGCGACGAGAGGAUAAUGACAAGCUUUUGGCUGCUCGCUGUUCAGUUGAUUCACUGCAUUUUAAAAAAAGGGAAAAGCCGUUAAGAGAAAGAAAGAACAGAAGCUUUGACAGCAUUUGAUGGUGAAUUUCUUUCCACGGUCUCUGCAGUGGAGCCUCUCCAUGCAGCGCCGGCCUUCGCCCGUCUGAUUACCAGCUGAGCCCCCGACGCUGGUGUCAAGUGUUUCCAAUCCACGGCUCAGUUUCUGCAAUCAGCAUACAACCUCGUACUGAAAACUGAAAAUACAGAUGGAAAUGUAGAAACGCUGGGGCCAGUUUCCUCCCGCUGUUGAAGCUUCUCUCGUUCACAGAUUUCAUCAUAUCCAGUCAACACAAAUGUUGUUUACAUCCAGUAUUUCUCAUCUAAACACAUUGUGUGUAUUCAUAAGAGCUAACACAUGUGUUGAAUGCAUGUAAAACAAUUAAAAAGCUCCUUCUUCCCUUACAUUUGACAUGUUACUGCCACCGAAACCAUAAGCAGAGCUGAUUAUCACACUAACUAGACUAGAAAAUGUGGAUCCACUGCAAAACAUUGCUCCAUAGCACUACUAGCAUACUUGCCAAUCCUCACAAUUUUCCCGGGAGAAUCCCAUUUUUCAUUUGCCCUCUCCUGGUUUCCUCUCGGGCUCACAUAUCUCCCACAUUUCUUUUGAUUUAUGGCAAUUUUUCACACCUUUUUUUUUUUACACCUGUCUCCUCUGCUUCUUUCAAUUUAUUGUUGUAAAUAUCAGAACUCAUCAUGCUUGAGUGAGAACUGAACAAAUGCUUUUUAAAUUGUAUUUUGAUUAGGG